AUUGAACGCUGGCGGCAGGCCUAACACAUGCAAGUCGAACGGUAACAGGAAGAAGCUUGCUUCUUUGCUGACGAGUGGCGGACGGGUGAGUAAUGUCUGGGAAACUUCCUGAUGUAGGGGGAUAACUACUGGAAACGGUAGCUAAUACCGCAUAACGUCGCAAGACCAAAGAGGGUGACCUUCUGGCCUCUUGCCAUCGUAUGUGCCCAGAUUGGAUUAGCUAGUAGGUGGGGUAACGUCUCACCUAGGCGACGAUCCCUAGCUGAUCUGAGAGGAUGACCAGCCACAUGGGAACUGAGACACGGUCAAGGAGACUACGGGAGGCAGCAGAGGGGAAUAUUGCACAAUGGGGGCAAACCUGAUGCAGCCAUGCCGCGUGUAUGAAGAAGGCGUUCGGGUUGUAAAGUACUUUCAGCGGGGAGGAAGGGAGUAAAGUUAAUACCUUUACUGAUUGACGUUAACCGCAGAAGAAGCACCGGCUAACUACGUG
Molecule: ribosomal RNA, 490 nt
Filed under: uncultured bacterium
Lineage: Bacteria
Description: partial 16S ribosomal RNA
Rfam family: Bacterial small subunit ribosomal RNA
Source: RNAcentral